GAAAGCUGAGGAGGAGGAAGAAUGGGGGGAAGAGACGGUUAGGGGUUCCAAGCGAGAGUCUGGCCCCAGGCAGAAGGGUCUGUGUGCAGAACACCCAGAGGGACCAGGGCCUAGGCAGGGGACGUGAUCAACCAGGUUUUCUGGGCCUCCCAUGCCCACCCUUAUAUUUUUUUUUAAUUACCUGCCAUGUGCCAAGACCUUUAUAUUCACGGGAAUCCCACUGCAAUCUGUGAAGGAAGGAUCAGUCCUCCCAUCUGAGGAAACUGGGGUUCAGAGAGGUGAGGGCACUUGCCCAAAGUCGCCCAGCACAAAGUGGCAGGGUUGGUGGCGAGUCCUGUUUGCAUGCCCUGUCCUGGAAUGCGGGUCUGCACAGAGAUCCCAGGCCACAGGCAGGGCCUUCCGGAGCCUCGUCUGCCCCCACGUCCCAGCCCCCUGAAAGGCCCAUGAGCUCCAAGGGGCCAUGUGAGGACACGGUAGGAAGGUGCCACCUGCAGCCAAGGAGAGAGGCCUCAGCGGAAACCACCCCUGGCAUCUUGAUCAUGGACCUCCAGCCUCCAGAACUGCAAGAAAAUGCCUUUCUGCUUUUGAAGCCCCCCGGUCUGGGGUAUUCUGUGAUGGCAGCCAAGCCGACUCAUGCAGGCCCCCUCCCCUGCCAGGAAAAUGAUGAGGGGCUUUGAAGAAAGGCUGAGGCUGCUCCAGGACAAGCACUGGGACCGGCCCCCUGGAGGGAUUGGCCUAAGGGGAGACCCGGAAGGGGCCGGAAGUGAGUCUGCAGCCGUGUGAUGGGGAGGCUGCAUGUGGCUGGGCCCGCCUGCCUGCCUUUGCUGCCCAAGGACACAAUUGGAGAUUGGUGCAACAAGGAGCAGGGGGCUGACAUCAGGCUGGGGGGACCCCUCAAGCCUUGGGGCCAGGGGGGUUCUAGCCCAUUCUCUUUGGACGGUGGGAACAAAGCCCAGUGUCUGUCUCCUUCUGGCGACCUCCCCUGGCCUAGGUCCCCUCAUCUCUAGGAAACUCUCCCCCUUCAAGGCGGCACACCCUCUCCCCUCCAGCUGCCCCUCCCAGAGCUCGGCGACACGGAGGAAGGCCCCCGCUCCCCCGACCCUGCCUGCCUCCUCCCUGUGACCAUCAGGAAGAGGAGAAGCACAGAGAAGCCCCAUCCAAAAGGCACCCCCCAAAAUAAGAAUCGCUCACAUGACAAACAGCACAUGAGACUCCAGCCCACAGCACCCCCGAGCUGCGACGCCCCCCC
Molecule: long non-coding RNA, 1249 nt
Filed under: Equus caballus (horse)
Lineage: Eukaryota; Metazoa; Chordata; Mammalia; Perissodactyla; Equidae
Description: lncRNA (ENSECAG00000045344.1)
Source: RNAcentral